ACAGCAGCCGCCGCGGUAACACGGAGGGUGCAAGCGUUAAUCGGAAUUACUGGGCGUAAAGCGCACGCAGGCGGUCUGACAAGUCAGAUGUGAAAUCCCCGGGCUUAACCUGGGAACUGCAUUUGAAACUGUCAGGCUGGAGUCUUGUAGAGGGGGGUGGAAUUCCAGGUGUAGCGGUGAAAUGCGUAGAGAUCUGGAGGAAUACCGGUGGCGAAGGCGGCCCCCUGGACAAAGACUGACGCUCAGGUGCGAAAGCGUGGGGAGCAAACAGGAUUAGAUACCCCUGUAGUCCCUGUCUCUUAUAC
This 305-nucleotide ribosomal RNA is filed under the name uncultured bacterium. Its description in RNAcentral is "partial 16S ribosomal RNA". It matches the Rfam family "Bacterial small subunit ribosomal RNA", at positions 508 to 807 of the family's 1533-position model. The record is from RNAcentral.